CUUCGGGUGGGGAUUAGUGGCGAACGGGUGAGUAACACGUGGGCAAUCUGCCCUGCACUCUGGGACAAGCCCUGGAAACGGGGUCUAAUACCGGAUACUGAACCGCUCGGGCAUCCAGGCGGUUCGAAAGCUCCGGCGGUGCAGGAUGAGCCCGCGGCCUAUCAGCUUGUUGGUGAGGUAACGGCUCACCAAGGCGACGACGGGUAGCCGGCCUGAGAGGGCGACCGGCCACACUGGGACUGAGACACGGCCCAGACUCCUACGGGAGGCAGCAGUGGGGAAUAUUGCACAAUGGGCGAAAGCCUGAUGCAGCGACGCCGCGUGAGGGAUGACGGCCUUCGGGUUGUAAACCUCUUUCAGCAGGGAAGAAGCGAAAGUGACGGUACCUGCAGAAGAAGCGCCGGCUAACUACGUGCCAGCAGCCGCGGUAAUACGUAGGGCGCGAGCGUUGUCCGGAAUUAUUGGGCGUAAAGAGCUCGUAGGCGGCUUGUCGCGUCGGUUGUGAAAGCCCGGGGCUUAACCCCGGGUCUGCAGUCGAUACGGGCAGGCUAGAGUUCGGUAGGGGAGAUCGGAAUUCCUGGUGUAGCGGUGAAAUGCGCAGAUAUCAGGAGGAACACCGGUGGCGAAGGCGGAUCUCUGGGCCGAUACUGACGCUGAGGAGCGAAAGCGUGCGGAGCGAACAGGAUUAGAUACCCUGGUAGUCCACGCCGUAAACGGUGGGCACUAGGUGUGGGCGACAUUCCACGUCGUCCGUGCCGCAGCUAACGCAUUAAGUGCCCCGCCUGGGGAGUACGGCCGCAAGGCUAGAACUCACAGGAAUUGACGGGGGCCCGCACAAGCGGCGGAGCAUGUGGCUUAAUUCGACGCAACGCGAAGAACCUUACCAAGGCUUGACAUACACCGGAAAGCAUCGGAGAUGGUGCCCCCCUUGUGGUCGGUG
This 940-nucleotide ribosomal RNA is filed under the name Streptomyces variabilis. RNAcentral's name for it is "bacterial SSU rRNA". It matches the Rfam family "Bacterial small subunit ribosomal RNA", at positions 78 to 1031 of the family's 1533-position model. Lineage: Bacteria; Bacillati; Actinomycetota; Actinomycetes; Kitasatosporales; Streptomycetaceae. The record is from RNAcentral.